RNAcentral lists this ribosomal RNA (1136 nucleotides) under Escherichia coli. RNAcentral describes it as "partial 23S ribosomal RNA". It matches the Rfam family "Bacterial large subunit ribosomal RNA", at positions 104 to 1282 of the family's 2925-position model. Lineage: Bacteria; Pseudomonadati; Pseudomonadota; Gammaproteobacteria; Enterobacterales; Enterobacteriaceae. The record is from RNAcentral.
CCGGCGAUUUCCGAAUGGGGAAACCCAGUGUGUUUCGACACACUAUCAUUAACUGAAUCCAUAGGUUAAUGAGGCGAACCGGGGGAACUGAAACAUCUAAGUACCCCGAGGAAAAGAAAUCAACCGAGAUUCCCCCAGUAGCGGCGAGCGAACGGGGAGGAGCCCAGAGCCUGAAUCAGUGUGUGUGUUAGUGGAAGCGUCUGGAAAGGCGCGCGAUACAGGGUGACAGCCCCGUACACAAAAAUGCACAUAUUGUGAGCUCGAUGAGUAGGGCGGGACACGUGGUAUCCUGUCUGAAUAUGGGGGGACCAUCCUCCAAGGCUAAAUACUCCUGACUGACCGAUAGUGAACCAGUACCGUGAGGGAAAGGCGAAAAGAACCCCGGCGAGGGGAGUGAAAAAGAACCUGAAACCGUGUACGUACAAGCAGUGGGAGCCUCUUAAUGGGGUGACUGCGUACCUUUUGUAUAAUGGGUCAGCGACUUAUAUUCUGUAGCAAGGUUAACCGAAUAGGGGAGCCGAAGGGAAACCGAGUCUUAACUGGGCGUUAAGUUGCAGGGUAUAGACCCGAAACCCGGUGAUCUAGCCAUGGGCAGGUUGAAGGUUGGGUAACACUAACUGGAGGACCGAACCGACUAAUGUUGAAAAAUUAGCGGAUGACUUGUGGCUGGGGGUGAAAGGCCAAUCAAACCGGGAGAUAGCUGGUUCUCCCCGAAAGCUAUUUAGGUAGCGCCUCGUGAAUUCAUCUCCGGGGGUAGAGCACUGUUUCGGCAAGGGGGUCAUCCCGACUUACCAACCCGAUGCAAACUGCGAAUACCGGAGAAUGUUAUCACGGGAGACACACGGCGGGUGCUAACGUCCGUCGUGAAGAGGGAAACAACCCAGACCGCCAGCUAAGGUCCCAAAGUCAUGGUUAAGUGGGAAACGAUGUGGGAAGGCCCAGACAGCCAGGAUGUUGGCUUAGAAGCAGCCAUCAUUUAAAGAAAGCGUAAUAGCUCACUGGUCGAGUCGGCCUGCGCGGAAGAUGUAACGGGGCUAAACCAUGCACCGAAGCUGCGGCAGCGACACUAUGUGUUGUUGGGUAGGGGAGCGUUCUGUAAGCCUGUGAAGGUGGCCUGUGAGGGUUGCUGGAGGUAU